RNAcentral lists this ribosomal RNA (1448 nucleotides) under Weissella confusa. Its description in RNAcentral is "bacterial SSU rRNA". It matches the Rfam family "Bacterial small subunit ribosomal RNA". The record is from RNAcentral. Lineage: Bacteria; Bacillati; Bacillota; Bacilli; Lactobacillales; Lactobacillaceae.
AUACAUGCAAGUCGAACGCUUUGUGGUUCAACUGAUUUGAAGAGCUUGCUCAGAUAUGACGAUGGACAUUGCAAAGAGUGGCGAACGGGUGAGUAACACGUGGGAAACCUACCUCUUAGCAGGGGAUAACAUUUGGAAACAGAUGCUAAUACCGUAUAACAAUGACAACCGCAUGGUUGUUAUUUAAAAGAUGGUUCUGCUAUCACUAAGAGAUGGUCCCGCGGUGCAUUAGCUAGUUGGUAAGGUAAUGGCUUACCAAGGCGAUGAUGCAUAGCCGAGUUGAGAGACUGAUCGGCCACAAUGGGACUGAGACACGGCCCAUACUCCUACGGGAGGCAGCAGUAGGGAAUCUUCCACAAUGGGCGAAAGCCUGAUGGAGCAACGCCGCGUGUGUGAUGAAGGGUUUCGGCUCGUAAAACACUGUUGUAAGAGAAGAAUGACAUUGAGAGUAACUGUUCAAUGUGUGACGGUAUCUUACCAGAAAGGAACGGCUAAAUACGUGCCAGCAGCCGCGGUAAUACGUAUGUUCCAAGCGUUAUCCGGAUUUAUUGGGCGUAAAGCGAGCGCAGACGGUUAUUUAAGUCUGAAGUGAAAGCCCUCAGCUCAACUGAGGAAUUGCUUUGGAAACUGGAUGACUUGAGUGCAGUAGAGGAAAGUGGAACUCCAUGUGUAGCGGUGAAAUGCGUAGAUAUAUGGAAGAACACCAGUGGCGAAGGCGGCUUUCUGGACUGUAACUGACGUUGAGGCUCGAAAGUGUGGGUAGCAAACAGGAUUAGAUACCCUGGUAGUCCACACCGUAAACGAUGAGUGCUAGGUGUUUGAGGGUUUCCGCCCUUAAGUGCCGCAGCUAACGCAUUAAGCACUCCGCCUGGGGAGUACGACCGCAAGGUUGAAACUCAAAGGAAUUGACGGGGACCCGCACAAGCGGUGGAGCAUGUGGUUUAAUUCGAAGCAACGCGAAGAACCUUACCAGGUCUUGACAUCCCUUGACAACUCCAGAGAUGGAGCGUUCCCUUCGGGGACAAGGUGACAGGUGGUGCAUGGUUGUCGUCAGCUCGUGUCGUGAGAUGUUGGGUUAAGUCCCGCAACGAGCGCAACCCUUAUUACUAGUUGCCAGCAUUCAGUUGGGCACUCUAGUGAGACUGCCGGUGACAAACCGGAGGAAGGUGGGGAUGACGUCAAAUCAUCAUGCCCCUUAUGACCUGGGCUACACACGUGCUACAAUGGCGUAUACAACGAGUUGCCAACCCGCGAGGGUGAGCUAAUCUCUUAAAGUACGUCUCAGUUCGGAUUGUAGGCUGCAACUCGCCUACAUGAAGUCGGAAUCGCUAGUAAUCGCGGAUCAGCACGCCGCGGUGAAUACGUUCCCGGGUCUUGUACACACCGCCCGUCACACCAUGAGAGUUUGUAACACCCAAAGCCGGUGGGGUAACCUUCGGGAGCCAGCC